Molecule: unclassified non-coding RNA, 263 nt
Filed under: plant metagenome
Description: partial contains small subunit ribosomal RNA, internal transcribed spacer 1, and 5.8S ribosomal RNA
Source: RNAcentral
UUUCCGUAGGUGAACCUGCGGAAGGAUCAUUAUUGCAUAACCGAGGUGCGAGGGCUGUCGCUGACCCGAAAGGUCGUGCACGCCCGAGUGCCCUCACACACAUCCAUCUCACCCCUAUGUGCACCACCGCGUGGGUCCCCCUUUGGCUUGUUCGGAGGGGGGCUUACGUUUUCACACAAACUUUGUAUGCAGUGUAGAAUGUAUUUUUUGUUUUUGCGAUCACGCAAUCAAUACAACUUUCAACAACGGAUCUCUUGGCUCAC